Molecule: long non-coding RNA, 2097 nt
Organism: Ctenopharyngodon idella (grass carp)
Lineage: Eukaryota; Metazoa; Chordata; Actinopteri; Cypriniformes; Xenocyprididae
Exons: 4
Source: RefSeq, a predicted model, not a curated record
CUGGUGAAUAACAACCAACACCUAUCAGCGAACUCUCGCUUCUCCAGAUGCCUAAAAGGAUGUCGUAACUGCAGAUUGAUGUAAAUUCUACUAAUAAAUCAAACAGCUAUUUGGAUUAUUGGCAUAGGGAUGAUGGAAAUCGUGGAUGAGGGGAUCGGUGACAUGGAGAUGCACACACCUCGUCUUGGCUGUGAUAAGUAAUAAUCUUUCACUCACACAGAUUAACAGGACUGAAGAUGCUGGAGACACAAGGGAUUGGAAACACACAGGAGAAUCACUGGAGAAUCAUAGGAGAUAACUUGAAGCUUGAGAAUACAGGUGAGCUGUAAAUGGGACCUCUGCUAUUUAUGGGGCCAUGGUCAAAGUCUUCUGAGCCUUCUGUCAAAGAUCAUCAGCCAGACUGGCAUCAUCUUGUUUGCCUGAGUGUCCUGAUGCCCGUUGCGACACAGGUCCCCUGCAGCUCAGACACCCACAGUGCUGUGAUUACAGAGAGUAAUGAACCACAGCCACAGGAAGGGGCACCACCAGCAGACCACCAGUUCCCAUAUGUGCCCCAGGCCUGCAGCUCAGCCUCCAGGAUGAAACCGCUGGGCGGGUAAACACAGGGGAGGGCACACAGCCACAGACAGAUUGCCAUCUCUCAUAAUCCACAGAGGGCACGACGGAGAGGAACAGCAGCGGCCGGGUCAGACAGGGAGGAGUUUGGCUAACUUAUCUAUGAGUCUAAUCAGCCUCUGACCAUACAUAAGCAAAGUAUUCAGUGGCUGAAUGUGUCAUGAAAAAGUACAGUUCCUUUUUACUAUUUUUGUGUUUUUAGUGUAUUUCCCCAGUCAAACCUAAACAAUGCAUAAUAGCCAUGUUAAAUGUGAGUGAAUCACUUCUUUGUAUGAAUUUUCCAAUGUACUGUUCAAUAGUUUGGUGUCAGUAAGAUUUUUUUUCUUGAAAGAAGUUAUUACUUUCAUUCAGCAAGGAUGCAUUAAAUUGAUAAGUAAAGUCUUUUAUAAUUUUACAAAAGAUUUAUCUUUCAAAUAAAUACUGAACUUUUUUAUUCACUGAAGAAUCCUGAAAAAAAAAGUCAUACAGAUUUCAUGAGGGUAAAUGAUAAUUUUUUAGUUUUUGAGUCAACUGUCCCUUUAAGGAAAAACACUGUGAUGUGACCAGUUACAUAGAUUAAAUGAUAAUGCCAUCACAGCAAUUGUCUAUUUUACUUUUAGAUGUAGUGCCUCUGUACUGUAUAUUGUGUGAUUCCCCUUUCACCAUCUGUGUGUUAUGGGUGAGGAUUUGAUAUCAGGCCAAAAAGAUCACAAGUAGGCCUAUGCUAUAAAUUUGUGGUGGCAAAGCAUGCAAUCUGUGAAAAUCAGACUCAAGGUGCUGUGUCCUGUCAAACAAAUCGUCUCUAGAUGAUUAAUGCCAGAUGUAUGCCACACAAAACACUGUGUUUAGCAGACACUGUGACACCUAGUUUUUCAAUGGUGUGAAUUAUAUUGACGCCUGAUAAAUUUAAUGCCUGUGGGUUUCCUAGGUACAUUGUGUAUCUGUCUGUGCUGUUUUGGUUCUUUUCCAAGGGUGUGAGAAGCAGCAUUCUCACACUCCUCAGCAAGCCUUUUAGUGUCUUCAAAUCAUAUAAAUGUGUUUUUAAAAUAUUAUGUACAAUUUUUCGCCUCAGUAAAUGCACAUUAAACCUUUAAAUUGUGAUUUUCAACUAGUGAUAUAGGUUAAGUCCAUCAGAGACCCCAGAAAGGAUUCUUAUCAAUUCUCAAAGUUGCUUCCUUUCUAAACUGAGUUAAGUGAAGUGCCUCUUUAAGCAGCGGCUUGUAGAGUAGGCCUAAUUCUGUUUAAACAAAGUGUUGUUGUACUGAAAUUUAUCAAAGUACGAUGCCUUGCUUUGACAAAGAUACCCAGCUUGAAGAUAAUUUGAAUGAUAACACUAUAAAAUACUCUGGACUGAAGUCACCUGACUCUCAAAUGGUUUUGUAAAGAUUUUUUGCUAAAUGCAUGUUUUUAGUUUUAUUGUGAAUGAUUCAUUCAUGAAUACGUUUCAUUUAUAAAAAUGUGUUGUUUUGACAAUAAUUUUUAAUAAAAAAUAUCAUAGCUCAA